UUUUUGGCUUUGGAAAUAGUUUGGCUAUAUUUAUAUUUUACAUGAGAGUUUCAGUUUUCUAAUGUUUUUGUUUUUUCUUAAUGAAAUAGUGUUGUAGCUUCAGUAAAAAAUAUUGUUUUUCAAAUAACUUUGGAUUUAGUAAUAAAUUUUAGGAAAGGCUAAUUACGUGCCAGCUGCUGCGGUUAUACGUUUUUUUCUAGUUAAACUUUUUGGACAAAAUUAAGUUGUUGAAUCUGAGUUGGAUAAAAAUUGUUGUUUUCUGGUAAAAUGGAAAUUUUGUUUUUUUGUUUUCUGGGUUUUGGAGUAUUGCUUAAAAGUUCUAUAUGAAAACUGGGAUUAGAUACCCCAUUAUUUUGGAAUUUGAAAUAUUGAGUCCUAGGUAUUAUUAUUUUUAGAAACCUAAAAAGCUUGGCGGUUCUUUAUAUCCUUUUAGGGGAGCUUGCCCUGUUAUCGAUAAUCCUCGUUUUAUCUAACUUUUCUUAUUUGUUUGUAUACUUCUGUUGUCAGCUUACUUUUYAGAAAAUAGUAGUUGGCUUGUUUAGUUUUUGCUUUUACAUCAAGUCAAAGUGCAGCUAAUGGAGAAGGUGAGGUGAGCUACAUUUUUUAUUUUUUUGGAUAAAUAAUGAAAUUUUAUUUUUGAAAUUGGACUUAAUAGUAAAGAUUUUUAGAGAACUUUCUUGAAUAAGGUUUGAAGUGUGCACAAAUCGCCCGUCGCUCUUUCUGAGAAGAAAGAUAAGUCGUAACAUAGUAGUGGUAACGGAAGUUGUUGCUAGUUU
RNAcentral lists this non-coding RNA (776 nucleotides) under Prosadenoporus spectaculum. The record is from RNAcentral. Lineage: Eukaryota; Metazoa; Nemertea; Enopla; Monostilifera; Prosorhochmidae.